UGGAGAGUUUGAUCCUGGCUCAGAUUGAACGCUGGCGGCAGGCCUAACACAUGCAAGUCGAACGGUAACAGGGAGCAGCUUGCUGCUCUGCUGACGAGUGGCGGACGGGUGAGUAAUGUCUGGGAAACUGCCUGAUGGAGGGGGAUAACUACUGGAAACGGUAGCUAAUACCGCAUAACGUCUUCGGACCAAAGUGGGGGACCUUCGGGCCUCAUGCCAUCAGAUGUGCCCAGAUGGGAUUAGCUAGUAGGUGGGGUAAAGGCUCACCUAGGCGACGAUCCCUAGCUGGUCUGAGAGGAUGACCAGCCACACUGGAACUGAGACACGGUCCAGACUCCUACGGGAGGCAGCAGUGGGGAAUAUUGCACAAUGGGCGCAAGCCUGAUGCAGCCAUGCCGCGUGUAUGAAGAAGGCCUUCGGGUUGUAAAGUACUUUCAGCGAGGAGGAAGGGGUUGUGGUUAAUAACCGCAGUCAUUGACGUUACUCGCAGAAGAAGCACCGGCUAACUCCGUGCCAGCAGCCGCGGUA
This 528-nucleotide ribosomal RNA is filed under the name Enterobacter sp. 92. RNAcentral's name for it is "bacterial SSU rRNA". It matches the Rfam family "Bacterial small subunit ribosomal RNA", at positions 1 to 522 of the family's 1533-position model. The record is from RNAcentral. Lineage: Bacteria; Pseudomonadati; Pseudomonadota; Gammaproteobacteria; Enterobacterales; Enterobacteriaceae.